RNAcentral lists this transfer RNA (75 nucleotides) under Armatimonas rosea. It matches the Rfam family "tRNA". Rfam says of the family: Transfer RNA (tRNA) molecules are approximately 80 nucleotides in length. Their secondary structure includes four short double-helical elements and three loops (D, anti-codon, and T loops). Lineage: Bacteria; Bacillati; Armatimonadota; Armatimonadia; Armatimonadales; Armatimonadaceae. The record is from Rfam by way of RNAcentral.
CGGGAUGUAGCUCAGUUUGGUCAGAGCGCUCGCCUUGGGAGCGAGAAGUCGCAGGUUCGAGUCCUGUCAUCCCGA